Molecule: ribosomal RNA, 497 nt
Filed under: uncultured bacterium
Lineage: Bacteria
Description: partial 16S ribosomal RNA
Rfam family: Bacterial small subunit ribosomal RNA
Source: RNAcentral
GAUGAACGCUGGCGGCGUGCCUAAUACAUGCAAGUCGAGCGAACGGAUAAGGAGCUUGCUCCUUUGACGUUAGCGGCGGACGGGUGAGUAACACGUGGAUAACCUACCUAUAAGACUGGGAUAACUUCGGGAAACCGGAGCUAAUACCGGAUAACAUAUUGAACCGCAUGGUUCAAUAGUGAAAGGCGGCUUUGCUGUCACUUAUAGAUGGAUCCGCGCCGUAUUAGCUAGUUGGUAAGGUAACGGCUUACCAAGGCAACGAUACGUAGCCGACCUGAGAGGGUGAUCGGCCACACUGGAACUGAGACACGGUCCAGACUCCUACGGGAGGCAGCAGUAGGGAAUCUUCCGCAAUGGGCGAAAGCCUGACGGAGCAACGCCGCGUGAGUGAUGAAGGUCUUCGGAUCGUAAAACUCUGUCAUCAGGGAAGAACAAAUGUGUAAGUAACUGUGCACAUCUUGACGGUACCUGAUCAGAAAGCCACGGCUAACUACGUG